Long non-coding RNA from Talpa occidentalis (Iberian mole), 888 nucleotides. RefSeq lists it as uncharacterized. The transcript is spliced from 5 exons. The record is from RefSeq and is a predicted model, not a curated record. NCBI's taxonomy places the organism in Eukaryota, Metazoa, Chordata, Mammalia, Eulipotyphla, Talpidae.
CUGGGCGCUGGGAGCCGCUGGCUGGACCUGGCUGUGCAGUAUGCCCCAGAGGACCUGAGAGUGACGGUCUCCCUGGCAAACAGGACAGGGGGGGCGGCGACGCAGGCUGGGGUAGAGCUGGUGGCCAUCGGGGACGUGGCUGUCAAGACCCUGCUCCUCCUCCUCUGCCUCGUCGCCCUCAUAGUGAAGUCCCGCAGCAGGAAGGCAGCCAGGACAUCGGGGGACCAGGAAGAUACAGGCACAUCCUGGGUUAAGCCCUUAGACUCCAGGCUGAGUGUCCAGAGACCCUCCCCGUCCACCCUGCAGGGUCACGGCCCUGCCCUCUCCACGGACUGAGACCAGGUGCAGACAGCUCAGGCUGGGGUGAAGACCAGGCUGCCUCAUACCGUCCCCCCAUGCAGCCCGACAGCGCCUCUGUGACUCAGACUUGGCAUGUGCUGUUCCUUCUCCCAAAAUGCCUUUCCCUUCCCCUCCUGCCUCUCCAUGUCCCGAGCAUCCUUCAGAUCAGCUUAGUAUCUCUGAAUGUGUGUGUGUGAGAGUGUGUGUGUGUGUAGAGAGACAGGGGCUGAGGUCUAAGCAGCAAUAAGGAAGCAGGGCCUGCGUUUCCCUCAGAAAAUGACAGCAGGCGGGGGCCUCCCUGGUGGCGCAAGGAGUUAAGCACAAGACUAUGACACUAUCCGCAGCCUCUGCAGCACGAGUUCCAUCCCUGGUUGGACAGGGAGCAACCCCCACGGCGCAGCAGACCUCUCCUGUCUCCCCGCUGCUCCCCUCGGCAGUGGAUUUCAGUCAAUCUGCCUGUUCUGUUCCCCACUCUGUCUCUGGGGCAUCCUCUCACCCCCCCCACCUCUGGCCUGCACCCCAGCUCUUGUACGCAUAAAAUAAAUAAUA